AGCGAGGGAGCCAGCCAUGUGAGUGUCUGGGAGAUGAGUCCAGGCAGGGAAAGCCCUGAGGUGGGAGUAACCAGGUGGUGGUGAAAAGUUCGUGGCUCAGAAUGAAUGAAAAAACAAGCAGCUUCUCUCCCAUCUGUGACUGAGAACUUACAUUGGCUUCAAGAGGAAACUCAAGUACAAUAAAUUACAAUCCUCUUCAUGGCUGCUGGCCAUGGGAACCUCCACCACAUUCUGAAGCACAUUUAAAGAAGCUUGUCUAACCCGCAAGAGGCUGUGUGUCCUGAUCAACAGUAUCGGGCCCAAGAGGAGCCCCAAGAGGCAGCAAGGUGGAGCAGUAAACUUUCUCCAGCUGAGGCUGGCAUUGUUAGAAGCAACCACAAAUGACAAUCUUGAGCAUCAUGCAAUGAGAACAAUUUUUAGUAAAAACAAAUCUAUUUUGGUUCUGUCUUUUGUAAACAAUUCCUUUGCUCUGAGUAGUCUCUACUCUGACUGAUGCUAUGAUCCAGAAGAUGCUUCUUUAUUCUUCUCAGUAAUCCCUGGCAAAUCACUUGGGGCCAGUCUUCAAGAUCCCAAAUUUACCUCCUGAAAGAAUAACUCCCUCCCUGAUCUGAGUCCUGUGGUCCUCCUUACCCUGAGCACUUGUGUUUUAGAUGUUUACUAGGUGACAUCUGCAUUCCUGAGCAGGCUGCUCUCAAGAUGUUCUUGAGUCCUUUCAUUGUGGGUCUUCUGGAAGCCUCCAUACUAAGGCAGUAAGUGGAGUCUGGCUGACACCCUGGGAUGGAUGUAAUAUGUCUCUCCAAAGCAGGCCAGAGGAUAUUUUAGGACCUCUGGAUAUCAUAAAGGAAAUAGUGUUUCCUCAAAGCACCUAGCUUUCAAAGUCAUGCUAAUUUGUCUUUGCAGAAAUGUUUAUUAAUUAGUCCUUUCAUAAUUCAGCAAUACUAGGUAAAUAAAAAUAUAUGAUUUGACUAACUGGCAGGAAUUUAAUAUUUUAGUGAGCAGAGAGUGGCUCAGGAGUGAUUUUUUAAAAAUUAAGCACACUACACAUUAAGCUCUUGUUUGAAAUUUAGAACUGAUUAUAUCACAACAUUAGAAAUCCAAUUGAGUUUUGGAGACCAAAGCAAAUAUUGAUGAUAGUGUCCUAAGAAUAAUAUGUUGUCAUAAAUUGCUCUGCUAAAAUUACAUUGUAUGAGAUGAACAUAUAUGUUUCCUUCUCACUAUAAUGAACUAUAUUUUGGAGUUAUUGGUUUGCCCCUUGUCAUUCAGUACUGACACUGUGAAAAGCAGAACAUUCAGACAAGAGAAGCUUCUUGCUAUAAUGUACUUCCUGUUAAGAUCUCUCCCCAAAGUAACAUAAUCAGAAUCUAAUUAAGCCUCUAUGUCUCAUACCAUUAUUCUGGAAAUCAGGUGGAUAGAGAAACAUGUCACAUAAUACCAUGGGGAUAUAGGGAGACAAAUCCAGUAUGCAUGAAAUCCUACAGACAAAUGAUCCAGUUUCAUCAACAAUCAAUGGAGUAAGAAAAAGGAUGGGUGAUAUAGAUUAAUGGGAGAAUAAGAGGCAUCAUGACCAAAUGCAAUGUCUGGGUCAAAUUCUGAUCCUAAUUUGAACAAAGUAACUAUAAAAAGACAUUUUUGAGACAGUCUGGGAAACCAAACAUGGACUUACUAUGUUAGGAGUUACAACUGUGUUGAGUGUGAUCAUUGGUAUUGGGAUGUGGAAUUAUAUUUAAAAAACAUGCAGUCAGAAAUUAAGAGGGGGAACGAGGGAGGAAGUCUUUGUGAGAGAUGCAUAAUGAAAGUAUUUAAAGAUGAAAUGAAAUCUCUGGAAUUUGCUUUAAAAUAACUCUAGAAGAAAAAAAGAACUUCAGCAAGGGACAGAUGAAAAUGAAGGCAAAAUGUUAAUGACUGUUGAAGUUGGACGAUGUAUAUAUGGAUGCAUUAUUCUCUCUAUUUUUGUGUAUAUAUUUGAA
Manis javanica (Malayan pangolin) is the source of this 1967-nucleotide non-coding RNA. NCBI's taxonomy places the organism in Eukaryota, Metazoa, Chordata, Mammalia, Pholidota, Manidae. The record is from RefSeq and is a predicted model, not a curated record.